This 1192-nucleotide long non-coding RNA is filed under the name Vombatus ursinus (common wombat). RNAcentral describes it as "lncRNA (ENSVURG00010002116.1)". The record is from RNAcentral. Lineage: Eukaryota; Metazoa; Chordata; Mammalia; Diprotodontia; Vombatidae.
CACUUCUAAGAUUUAGGAUCCUCAGUGAAGCUGCAGAUACACCAAAGGAUUCCUGACAACUUCAUGCCCAGUUUCUUAUGCCAGGAGGGUCUGGCAUCAUUCAUGGAACAUAGAAGUACGAGGCUGCAGUAUAAUAAAUUCUUCUUGGUUGACCUCGUAAGGCUCUAUCCUCUGAGUCAAUGUUUCUUCUAGUGUUCUCCAAUGGAUGAGAUUAAGGAUUAGGUAAGGAGGAAUGGGACACCUUCAGAGCUAAGAAAAUUAUAGAAAUGUAGCAGCUGUCCUGGGUGUUCAGAAGAAGGUGGGCACUCCGAGUGCCCACUCCUCCCUCCACCCUUCAUUUUACAGACAAGAAAACUGAGGCUCAAAUAGGGGAGGUAUUGCCAGAUACCACAGGACUAAUAAGUGACAGAGAUUGGACUCACAUUCAGGCCUCUUGACCCAGCCCAACCCCCCAGACUCCUUCACAGAUGUCUCAGUCCCUACUAAAUGAUGGCCAAGGACACAGCUAUCAUACCAGCAACUGUUUCCUUUUGGAGUAGGGGAGGGGGCUAAGUGGGGAUAGAAAUGGGCCAACCUGCGUGUGAGUGAUCUGUGCAGAGUAAAAUGCAGUUACCUCAGCUCAGCUGGGCCAGUCUUUAGGGCAGCCCCUGAGAGCCCUUACAAGAGGUACACAGGAGCUGGCUUAUUCAGGGGGCUGGCAAAUAGUCCUUACCUCCUCAGACUGUUCUGAAACUCAAGUUAGACAAUCUAUGUAAAGUUCUUUGAACAACUAAAUCAUUGCAUACAUUCUCGAGGUUAUUAAUUUUUCAAAAUAGAUCUCUUUCGAUAUCUGUUGUUUUGAUGUUGCCUAGAUCUUCCCUCCACCCCCAUAACAAAGAUGUGAUUGUUUUUAUCAGUAUGCUUUAACAUUUAAUCAGACUAUAAAACAGCAAAAGCACCCAGAAGUCUCUUGUUCAGACUUCAGAUCUCUUUCUAAAUCUCCAGUUUGGGGAUAGUCGUUUCAGACCAGGGAUUUGAUUUUAUAAACAUGUUAAUUAGGAUGGUUUUGCACCAGUUCUUUAAUAAGUAAGUUCAGUCUUCUAGUUCCCCAGAGCUAUAAUUGCCCUCCCUCUCACUCCCCCCAUUAUCUCUAAUUUCCAUAUAGUGUCCCUCAACGAAUUUAAACUCCUAGGGGACAGGGGCCCUUUCACUC